AUGAACGCUGGCGGCGUGCCUAAUACAUGCAAUUCGAGCGAACGGACGAGAAGAUUGCUUCUCUGAUGUUAGCGGCGGACGGUUGAGUAACACGUGGAUAACCUACCUAUAAGACUGGGAUAACUUCGGGAAACCGGAGCUAAUACCGGAUAAUAUUUUGAACCGCAUGGUUCAAAAGUGAAAGACGGUCUUGCUGUCACUUAUAGAUGGAUCCGCGCUGCAUUAGCUAGUUGGUAAGGUAACGGCUUACCAAGGCAACGAUGCAUAGCCGACCUGAGAGGGUGAUCGGCCACACUAGAACUGAGACACGGUCCAGACUCCUACGGGAGGCAGCAGUGGGGAAUCUUCGGCAAUGGGCGAAAGCCUGACGGAGCAACGCGGCGUGAGUGAUGAAGGUCUUCGGAUCGUAAAACUAUGUUAUUAGGGAAGAACAUAUGUGUAAGUAACUGUGCACAUCUUGACGGUACCUAAUCAGAAAGCCACGGCUAACUACGUG
This 496-nucleotide ribosomal RNA is filed under the name uncultured bacterium. Its description in RNAcentral is "partial 16S ribosomal RNA". It matches the Rfam family "Bacterial small subunit ribosomal RNA", at positions 29 to 507 of the family's 1533-position model. The record is from RNAcentral.